RNAcentral lists this transfer RNA (77 nucleotides) under Candidatus Bathyarchaeota archaeon. RNAcentral's name for it is "tRNA-Arg". It matches the Rfam family "tRNA". Rfam says of the family: Transfer RNA (tRNA) molecules are approximately 80 nucleotides in length. Their secondary structure includes four short double-helical elements and three loops (D, anti-codon, and T loops). Further hydrogen bonds mediate the characteristic L-shaped molecular structure. tRNAs have two regions of fundamental functional importance: the anti-codon, which is responsible for specific mRNA codon recognition, and the 3' end, to which the tRNAs corresponding amino acid is attached (by aminoacyl-tRNA synthetases). tRNAs cope with the degeneracy of the genetic code in two manners: having more than one tRNA (with a specific anti-codon) for a particular amino acid; and 'wobble' base-pairing, i.e. permitting non-standard base-pairing at the 3rd anti-codon position. The record is from RNAcentral. Lineage: Archaea; Thermoproteati; Candidatus Bathyarchaeota. RNAcentral also lists the same sequence under 1 other name.
GGGCCCGUAGCCUAGUUGGAUAGGGCGCAGGCCUUCGGAGCCUGAUGUCGGGGGUUCAAAUCCCUCCGGGCCCGCCA